CAGGUCACUUGGAUGCAACAAAAUGCGCGUUUGACUCGAGUCAUACCAAAGGUCGUGCGAAGCGAUUUCUAAUGCAGACGCAAGACAAGAAAACUUUGGCAUAAUUCCAGUGUUGCACUUAAAAUGGGCGGCGUUACUUUCGAGGCAAAGGUUCAAUUGACAAAAUAGUUAUCGUUUCAGGCACUGACGUUGCAGUGCGUCAACAAUACAAGACAAUGACGCAACGCAGCAUACUGUUUAGCAUCCAUUUAUUGCCACGGGAACAAACGCACUGCAGCAUGUACAGCCCUUGUCAGGUGGGAUCUCAUUCACGUCAACGUCACGUGACAGGCACCGAGUCUGGUUGUGGAUGGGCGGCUCCCACUUUCGGUGAGCCUGUACGGGCCUGCCUUCGCAGGGGGCACUCAGCAGGUGACAUGGCGAAGAAAUCAUCCCAAAGAUCCUCCUGCUGCGAAGGCACCUCAAGGCCGCUGGAAAUCACCUUGAUGUCACGAGGACGUGGACCGCACAACAGUUCCUGGAAUUUAUCGCCAAAUGGAACUUCUUUUGAGUGACUCCCUAAUCUUACCGUUAUCUUUCGCUUGUUCCUCAUGAGCUGCGUGUCAGUUGCAUCAUGCGAAUGGAACUUUUCCAAGUUAAAGCUGAUCAAAACGCUUCUGCGCUCCACCAUGAGUGAUGAAAGGCUGCCAAACUUGGCGAUACUGACCAUAGAAAAAGAACAUGUAAAAAAUAUAAACUUUACUACUGUAAUUAAUGAGUUUGCAGAAGCGAUCAAAGUGUCAGAAAGAACUUCUGAAGGAAAUGUCCUUACUGGUCAUUAGUGCAAAAGGCUCGAUGUCCCACCAUGGUUUGUGCAUCGGCAAUGUGUAUACAAUGUUCUAUUUAUCAAUUUUGAAUCGUUGUAUUAGUUUUUUAUCAGUUUCGCGGUGUUGAAUAAAAUAUAUUUCUCCUA
Molecule: long non-coding RNA, 952 nt
Organism: Dermacentor albipictus
Lineage: Eukaryota; Metazoa; Arthropoda; Arachnida; Ixodida; Ixodidae
Source: RefSeq, a predicted model, not a curated record